This 253-nucleotide ribosomal RNA is filed under the name uncultured bacterium. RNAcentral's name for it is "partial 16S ribosomal RNA". It matches the Rfam family "Bacterial small subunit ribosomal RNA", at positions 524 to 776 of the family's 1533-position model. The record is from RNAcentral.
UACGGAGGGGGCGAGUGUUGUUCGGAAUUACUGGGCGUAAAGGGCGCGCAGGCGGCCUGGCAAGUCGAGUGUGAAAUCCCUUGGCUUAACUGAGGAAUGGCGCUCGAAACUACCUCGCUGGAGGGCGGGAGAGGGAAGUGGAACUCUCGGUGUAGGGGUGAAAUCUGUAGAGAUCCGGAGGAACACCAGAGGCGAAAGCGGCGUCCUGGCUCACUGUUGACGCUCAGACACGAAAGCAUGGGGAGCGAACGGG